UGGGGAAUAUUGCACAAUGGGCGCAAGCCUGAUGCAGCAACGCCGCGUGAACGAUGAAGGUCUUCGGAUCGUAAAGUUCUGUUGCAGGGGAAGAUAAUGACGGUACCCUGUGAGGAAGCCCCGGCUAACUACGUGCCAGCAGCCGCGGUAAUACGUAGGGGGCUAGCGUUAUCCGGAUUUACUGGGCGUAAAGGGUGCGUAGGUGGUCUUUCAAGUCGGUGGUUAAAGGCUACGGCUCAACCGUAGUUAGCCUCCGAAACUGGAAGACUUGAGUGCAGGAGAGGAAAGUGGAAUUCCCAGUGUAGCGGUGAAAUGCGUAGAUAUUGGGAGGAACACCAGUAGCGAAGGCGGCUUUCUGGACUGCAACUGACACUGAGGCACGAAAGCGUGGGUAGCAAACAG
RNAcentral lists this ribosomal RNA (402 nucleotides) under Verrucomicrobiota bacterium. Its description in RNAcentral is "Verrucomicrobia bacterium partial 16S ribosomal RNA". It matches the Rfam family "Bacterial small subunit ribosomal RNA", at positions 355 to 775 of the family's 1533-position model. Lineage: Bacteria; Pseudomonadati; Verrucomicrobiota. The record is from RNAcentral.